RNAcentral lists this ribosomal RNA (497 nucleotides) under uncultured bacterium. Its description in RNAcentral is "partial 16S ribosomal RNA". It matches the Rfam family "Bacterial small subunit ribosomal RNA", at positions 28 to 507 of the family's 1533-position model. The record is from RNAcentral.
GAUGAACGCUGGCAGCGUGCCUAAUACAUGCAAGUCGAGCGAACAGACGAGGAGCUUGCUCCUCUGACGUUAGCGGCGGACGGGUGAGUAACACGUGGAUAACCUACCUAUAAGACUGGGAUAACUUCGGGAAACCGGAGCUAAUACCGGAUAAUAUAUUGAACCGCAUGGUUCAAUAGUGAAAGACGGUUUUGCUGGCACUUAUAGCUGGAUCCGCGCCGCAUUAGCUAGUUGGGAAGGUAACGGCUUACCAAGGCAACGAUGCGUAGCCGACCUGAGAGGGUGAUCGGCCACACUGGAACUGAGACACGGUCCAGACUCCUACGGGAGGCAGCAGUAGGGAAUCUUCCGCAAUGGGCGAAAGCCUGACGGAGCAACGCCGCGUGAGUGAUGAAGGUCUUCGGAUCGUAAAACUCUGUUAUUAGGGAAGAACAAAUGUGUAAGUAACUAUGCACGUCUUGACGGUACCUAAUCAGAAAGCCACGGCUAACUACGUG